UCUCCGUUGGUGAACCAGCGGAGGGAUCAUUAGCGAGUUGCCCGACUCCCAAACCCCCUGUGAACCGUACCGUCGCGUUGCCUCGGCGGGCGACGCCCCGGCGCCCACUGCGCGGCCCGGGGCGCCCGCCGGAGGGCCCCCAAACUCUUGCAACCCGCCCCCCGCCCCCCGGGGAGGGGGCGCGCCGUCCUCUGAGUCCCCCAGUGAGAACGAAUCAAAACUUUCAACAACGGAUCUCUUGGUUCUG
RNAcentral lists this unclassified non-coding RNA (247 nucleotides) under soil metagenome. RNAcentral's name for it is "partial contains small subunit ribosomal RNA, internal transcribed spacer 1, and 5.8S ribosomal RNA". The record is from RNAcentral.